This 560-nucleotide ribosomal RNA is filed under the name uncultured bacterium. RNAcentral's name for it is "bacterial SSU rRNA". It matches the Rfam family "Bacterial small subunit ribosomal RNA", at positions 8 to 570 of the family's 1533-position model. The record is from RNAcentral.
AGAGUUUGAUUAUGGCUCAGGAUGAACGCUGGCGGCGUGCCUAACACAUGCAAGUCGAACGGGUGUACAGAAGGGAAGAUUACGGUCGGAAGAUCUGUGCAUGAGUGGCGGACGGGUGAGUAACGCGUGGGCAACCUGGCCUGUACAGGGGGAUAACACUUAGAAAUAGGUGCUAAUACCGCAUAACGGGAGAAGCCGCAUGGCUUUUUCCUGAAAACUCCGGUGGUACAGGAUGGGCCCGCGUCUGAUUAGCCAGUUGGCAGGGUAACGGCCUACCAAAGCGACGAUCAGUAGCCGGCCUGAGAGGGCGGACGGCCACACUGGGACUGAGACACGGCCCAGACUCCUACGGGAGGCAGCAGUGGGGGAUAUUGCACAAUGGGGGGAACCCUGAUGCAGCGACGCCGCGUGGGUGAAGAAGCGCCUCGGCGCGUAAAGCCCUGUCAGCAGGGAAGAAAAUGACGGUACCUGAAGAAGAAGCCCCGGCUAACUACGUGCCAGCAGCCGCGGUAAUACGUAGGGGGCAAGCGUUAUCCGGAUUUACUGGGUGUAAAGGGGGC